This 524-nucleotide ribosomal RNA is filed under the name Kluyveromyces marxianus. RNAcentral's name for it is "eukaryotic LSU rRNA". It matches the Rfam family "Eukaryotic large subunit ribosomal RNA", at positions 70 to 635 of the family's 3401-position model. The record is from RNAcentral. Lineage: Eukaryota; Fungi; Ascomycota; Saccharomycetes; Saccharomycetales; Saccharomycetaceae.
CGGGAUUGCCUUAGUAACGGCGAGUGAAGCGGCAAAAGCUCAAAUUUGAAAUCUGGCGUCUUCGACGUCCGAGUUGUAAUUUGAAGAAGGUAACUUUGUAGCUGGUCCUUGUCUAUGUUCCUUGGAACAGGACGUCAUAGAGGGUGAGAAUCCCGUGUGGCGAGGAUCCCAGUUAUUUGUAAAGUGCUUUCGACGAGUCGAGUUGUUUGGGAAUGCAGCUCUAAGUGGGUGGUAAAUUCCAUCUAAAGCUAAAUAUUGGCGAGAGACCGAUAGCGAACAAGUACAGUGAUGGAAAGAUGAAAAGAACUUUGAAAAGAGAGUGAAAAAGUACGUGAAAUUGUUGAAAGGGAAGGGCAUUUGAUCAGACAUGGCGUUUGCUUCGGCUUUCGCUGGGCCAGCAUCAGUUUUAGCGGUUGGAUAAAUCCUCGGGAAUGUGGCUCUGCUUCGGUAGAGUGUUAUAGCCCGUGGGAAUACAGCCAGCUGGGACUGAGGAUUGCGACUUUUGUCAAGGAUGCUGGCGUAAU